RNAcentral lists this ribosomal RNA (524 nucleotides) under uncultured bacterium. Its description in RNAcentral is "partial 16S ribosomal RNA". It matches the Rfam family "Bacterial small subunit ribosomal RNA", at positions 28 to 523 of the family's 1533-position model. The record is from RNAcentral.
GACGAACGCUGGCGGCGUGCCUAAUAUAUGCAAGUCGAACGAAGCUGUUUUAACUGGUGCUUGCACCGACUUAAACAACUGAGUGGCGACCGGGUGAGUAACACGUGGGUAACCUGCCCCAAAGCGGGGGAUAACAUUUGGAAACAGAUGCUAAUACCGCAUAACCACAGAAACCACAUGGUUUCUGUGUCAAAGAUGGUUUCGGCUAUCACUUUGGGAUGGACCCGCGGCGUAUUAGCUAGUUGGUAAGGUAAUGGCUUACCAAGGCAAUGAUACGUAGCCGAACUGAGAGGUUGAUCGGCCACAUUGGGACUGAGACACGGCCCAAACUCCUACGGGAGGCAGCAGUAGGGAAUCUUCCACAAUGGACGAAAGUCUGAUGGAGCAGCGCCGCGUGAGUGAAGAAGGUUUUCGGAUCGUAAAACUCUGUUGUCAGAGAAGAACGUGUGCGAGAGUAACUGCUCGUGCAGUGACGGUAUCUGGCCAGAAAGCCACGGCUAACUACGUGCCAGCCGCCGCGGUAA